This 455-nucleotide ribosomal RNA is filed under the name uncultured soil bacterium. Its description in RNAcentral is "bacterial SSU rRNA". It matches the Rfam family "Bacterial small subunit ribosomal RNA", at positions 26 to 518 of the family's 1533-position model. The record is from RNAcentral.
AGAACGAACGCUGGCGGCAUGCCUAACACAUGCAAGUCGAACGAGACCUUCGGGUCUAGUGGCGCACGGGUGCGUAACGCGUGGGAAUCUGCCCUUGGGUUCGGGAUAACAGUUGGAAACGACUGCUAAUACCGGAUGAUGACUUCGGUCCAAAAGAUUUAUCGCCCAAGGAUGAGCCCGCGUAGGAUUAGCUUGUUGGUGAGGUAAGAGCUCACCAAGGCGACGAUCCUUAGCUGGUCUGAGAGGAUGAUCAGCCACACUGGGACUGAGACACGGCCCAGACUCCUACGGGAGGCAGCAGUGGGAAUAUUGGACAAUGGGCGAAAGCCUGAUCCAGCAAAUGCCGCGUGAGGUGAUGAAGGCCUUAGGGUUAGUAAAGCUCUUUUACCCGGGAUGAAUAAUGACAGUACCGGGAAGAAUAAACGCCCCGACUAACGUCCGUGCCAGCAGGCCGC